CCUUGUUGAAUAAACGUCUUGAUAAGAGUCUCUUGUCGAGUAGUGUCGUCGAGAUGAUCUUAACUCCGUCUCUUGACUCGAUGAAAUUUGCUUUCGUUGGGCUCUUUUCUCUACUCGAUCCAAUCGAUCAUGCAAUUUAUCAAAUUUUGAUUUCACCAUUCUACGCACUUCUUGCAUCAAAUAUUGGAAUUCUGAUUCGGAAAAUUCUUCUUGAUACAUUUUUUUUGCUAAAAGAGAAAAAAAUGAUUAAAAUACAAUAGAAAAUAAAUACCUCACCACAAAAAAAAAUCUCACGUUUCACUCACAAAGAAAAUUCACACAAUUUGGCUUUUACUUCUCCCGAAUGGUCUCACCAAUCACUCUUGCCUUUUUUUCCACUCGAUUUUCGCCUCUCAAAGUUCUUCGCAAACUAAAUCGACGAAUCAAUACCGUUUGGCGUCGGCUUACAAAAUUGAUUUGGCUUGGUGGGUAAUGAUGUCGGAAAUGGUAGGCUAUAAAACAAAAUAGGAAUGGUUAAGUGUGGCUAUAUAGAUAUGGUC
RNAcentral lists this long non-coding RNA (539 nucleotides) under Gossypium barbadense (sea-island cotton). Its description in RNAcentral is "long non-coding RNA (GBAR_LNC018485)". Lineage: Eukaryota; Viridiplantae; Streptophyta; Magnoliopsida; Malvales; Malvaceae. The record is from RNAcentral.